Molecule: long non-coding RNA, 660 nt
Organism: Pungitius pungitius (ninespine stickleback)
Lineage: Eukaryota; Metazoa; Chordata; Actinopteri; Perciformes; Gasterosteidae
Exons: 4
Source: RefSeq, a predicted model, not a curated record
AUUUAGCUCAGGUUGACGAGCGGCCCUGAUGACGCGUCCAAGAUGGCCGCCAGGCCCCUGAGCUGUAACUUCCGCUGCCCGACUGUUCGUGACGAUGGAGACCCGAUGGAAGAAAGGAGACUGACUGAAAAUGUUGGAGGAGCAGCAGGAGAAGAACAAGGCUGAAGACAAGCAGAAGACAGAGGACGAAAUGAACAGAACUGCUGAAUGAGCAGAGACACUUGAAGGUCUUGGAGAAGACGAGGAGGACGGAGGAACAUUUGGGCGCAGUUUCCAGACCUGAGGACGGCAGGUUUCUUCUUCUGCUCUGCGGUUACUCUGAGAAGUAACUUUGACAGUUUGGGGGUGGUUCAACUUUUGUCAAAUGUUUGCUGUGCAGCUGAAUUUUAAUAAAGAAUAAUUUGGUAUAACCCCCUGCGUGUGUCUCAUUGAAAGCCCGGGAGGAGACGGACGUCUCUACUCUACCGGGGCGAUGCACACUGAUGAUCCCACAGCGGUGGGAAUCGAACCCGGGUCUGACGCCACCCAAACCGGGGACAGCGCAACCACGCCACCAUGUCAUUCACCCUUAAUCAUGUUUGUUUGUUGCCUUUGACUUCUUCAUGUGACUGAACAACCUCAAAAAUCACCCACCUGCAAAAGGCUAGAACCCACGACCUC